GACGAACCGCCCGAACGUUGUUCGGAAUCACUGGGCUUAAAGGGAGCGUAGGCGGGCUGCCAAGUCCGGGGUGAAAUCCUCCAGCUUAACUGGAGAACUGCCUCGGAUACUGGAAGUCUCGAGGAGGGUAGGGGCAAGUGGAACCGUGGGUGGAGCGGUGAAAUGCGUUGAUAUCCAUGGGAACUCCGGGUGGCGAAGGCGACUUGCUGGACCCUUUCUGACGCUGAGGCUCGAAAGCCAGGGGAGCAAACGGG
RNAcentral lists this ribosomal RNA (254 nucleotides) under uncultured bacterium. Its description in RNAcentral is "partial 16S ribosomal RNA". It matches the Rfam family "Bacterial small subunit ribosomal RNA", at positions 524 to 776 of the family's 1533-position model. The record is from RNAcentral.